RNAcentral lists this ribosomal RNA (472 nucleotides) under uncultured bacterium. RNAcentral's name for it is "bacterial SSU rRNA". It matches the Rfam family "Bacterial small subunit ribosomal RNA", at positions 8 to 500 of the family's 1533-position model. The record is from RNAcentral.
AGAGUUUGAUCCUGGCUCAGAGUGAACGCUGGCGGCGUGCCUAACACAUGCAAGUCGAACGAUGAUGGAGGAGCUUGCUCUUCCUGAUUAGUGGCGCACGGGUGAGUAACGCAUAGGUAAUGUGCCCCUUAGUUCGGGAUAGCCACUGGAAACGGUGAUUAAUACCGGAUACUCCUUCUCAUUAUAAGAUGAGUCGGGAAAGUUUUUCGCUAAGGGAUCAGCCUAUGUCCUAUCAGCUAGUUGGUGAGGUAAUGGCUCACCAAGGCAAUGACGGGUAUCUGGUUUGAGAGGAUGAUCAGACACACUGGAACUGAGACACGGUCCAGACUCCUACGGGAGGCAGCAGUGAGGAAUAUUGCACAAUGGAGGAAACUCUGAUGCAGCAACGCCGCGUGGAGGAUGACGCAUUUCGGUGUGUAAACUCCUUUUAAGAGGAAGAUUAUGACGGUUCCUCUUGAAUACCACCGGCUAA